GCGUGGGUUUGGAUUUAGGGGGUUCCCCUGGACCACUCAUAGGGUCCCAUACAGAAGCAAACUGUGGCCCUGAACCUUUGCCUGGCCUCUGUACCUGCAGGCUGCUGGCCCUGAAGUGGGUCAUACAGUA
Marmota flaviventris (yellow-bellied marmot) is the source of this 130-nucleotide small nucleolar RNA. RefSeq annotates it as small nucleolar RNA SNORA42/SNORA80 family. NCBI's taxonomy places the organism in Eukaryota, Metazoa, Chordata, Mammalia, Rodentia, Sciuridae. The record is from RefSeq and is a predicted model, not a curated record.